CGUCAUUCUUUCACUUAUUGAGUCUUCCAUAGGGACAGCCACCUUUAAAGAAUAUAAAUCAUUGAGCAACCUGUUUCACUAUAAACCACAGUUUCAGAGCCAUCUAUUGUAAAGAGAACUUCAAAAUGUCAAGGAGAAUUCACUACCUACAGAAUGAAGGAAAGACCAUGUGAGGACACAGUGAGGAGGCAGCCAUCUGCACGCCAGGAAGAAAGGCUUCCUUGCUUGAUCUUGGACUUCUGGCCUCCAGAAAUGAACUCACCUGGAGUGUCCAUGAAGGUCAUACUAUUGACAUACUUCUGAAAAAUAG
This 310-nucleotide long non-coding RNA is filed under the name Callithrix jacchus (white-tufted-ear marmoset). RNAcentral's name for it is "lncRNA (ENSCJAG00000078468.1)". The record is from RNAcentral. Lineage: Eukaryota; Metazoa; Chordata; Mammalia; Primates; Cebidae.